AUUGAACGCUGGCGGCAUGCCUUACACAUGCAAGUCGAACGGCAGCACGGGAGCAAUCCUGGUGGCGAGUGGCGAACGGGUGAGUAAAGUAUCGGAACGUGCCCAGUCGUGGGGGAUAACGUAGCGAAAGUUACGCUAAUACCGCAUACGAUCUAUGGAUGAAAGCGGGGGAUCGCAAGACCUCGCGCGAUUGGAGCGGCCGAGAUCAGAUUAGGUAGUUGGUGGGGUAAAGGCGCACCAAGCCGACGAUCUGUAGCUGGUCUGAGAGGACGACCAGCCACACUGGGACUGAGAAACGGCCCAGACUCCUACGGGAGGCAGCAGUGGGGAAUUUUGGACAAUGGGCGAAAGCCUGAUCCAGCCAUGCCGCGUGCAGGAUGAAGGCCUUCGGGUUGUAAACUGCUUUUGUACGGAACGAAAAGGUUUGGCCUAAUAAGCUGAGCUCAUGACGGUACCGUAAGAAUAAGCACCGGCUAACUACGUGCCAGCCGCCGCUGUAA
Molecule: ribosomal RNA, 500 nt
Filed under: uncultured bacterium
Lineage: Bacteria
Description: partial 16S ribosomal RNA
Rfam family: Bacterial small subunit ribosomal RNA
Source: RNAcentral